RNAcentral lists this ribosomal RNA (930 nucleotides) under Gymnoascus reessii. Its description in RNAcentral is "LSU rRNA". It matches the Rfam family "Eukaryotic large subunit ribosomal RNA", at positions 36 to 981 of the family's 3401-position model. The record is from RNAcentral. Lineage: Eukaryota; Fungi; Ascomycota; Eurotiomycetes; Onygenales; Gymnoascaceae.
UAGCAUAUCAAUAAGCGGAGGAAAAGAAACCAACAGGGAUUGCCUCAGUAACGGCGAGUGAAGCGGCAAGAGCUCAAAUUUGAAAUCUGGUCCUUUCAGGGCCCGAGUUGUAAUUUGCAGAGGAUGCUUUGGGUGCGGCCGCGGCGUAAGUGCCCUGGAACGGGCUGUCGCAGAGGGUGAGAAUCCCGUCUUGAGUCGCCGGUUCGCGCCCGUGUAAAGCUCCUUCGACGAGUCGAGUUGUUUGGGAAUGCAGCUCUAAAUGGGUGGUAAAUUUCAUCUAAAGCUAAAUAUUGGCUGGAGACCGAUAGCGCACAAGUAGAGUGAUCGAAAGGUUAAAAGCACCUUGAAAAGGGAGUUAAAUAGCACGUGAAAUUGUUGAAAGGGAAGCGCUUGCAACCAGACUCGGCCGCAGAGGCUCAACGGGCACGUGUGCCUGUGCACUCCUCUGUGGUCGGGCCAGCAUCAGUUCUGGCGACCGGUCAAAGGCCCCUGGAAUGUGUCGUCCUCCGGGACGUCUUAUAGCCAGGGGUGCAAUGCGGCCAGCCGGGACUGAGGAACGCGCUUCGGCACGGAUGCUGGCAUAAUGGUUGUAAGCGGCCCGUCUUGAAACACGGACCAAGGAGUCUAACAUCCACGCGAGUGUUCGGGUGUCAAACCCGUGCGCGCAGUGAAAGCGAACGGAGGUGGGAUCCCCGCAAGGGGCGCACCAUCGACCGAUCCUGAAGUCUUCGGAUGGAUUUGAGUAAGAGCGUGGCUGUUGGGACCCGAAAGAUGGUGAACUAUGCCUGAAUAGGGCGAAGCCAGAGGAAACUCUGGUGGAGGCUCGCAGCGGUUCUGACGUGCAAAUCGAUCGUCAAAUUUGGGUAUAGGGGCGAAAGACUAAUCGAACCAUCUAGUAGCUGGUUCCUGCCGAAGUUCCCCUCAAGGAAC